GCGUAUAUUAAAGUUGUUGCAGUUAAAAAGCUCGUAGUUGAAUUUCGGGGUCAGCAGGUUGGUCGUGCCACUGGUAUGAACUGGUUUCGCUGAUUCCUCCUUUCUGAAGAACUGUAAUGUCAUUAAUUUGGUGUUGCAGGGAAACAGGACUGUUACUUUGAAAAAAUUAGAGUAUUUAAAGCAGGCUAACGCUUGAAUACAUUAGCAUGGAAUAAUGAAAUAGGACGUUCAAACCUAUUUUGUUGGUUUCUAGGAUUGACGUAAUGAUUAAUAGGGAUAGUUGGGGGCAUUAGUAUUCAAUUGUCAGAGGUGAAAUUCUUGGAUUUAUUGAAGACUAACUACUGCGAAAGCAUUUGCCAAGGAUGUUUUCAUUAAUCAAGAACGAAAGUUAGGGGAUCGAAGGCGAUCAGAUACCGUCGUAGUCUUAACCAUAAA
Molecule: ribosomal RNA, 435 nt
Filed under: uncultured Glomus
Lineage: Eukaryota; Fungi; Glomeromycota; Glomeromycetes; Glomerales; Glomeraceae
Description: SSU rRNA
Rfam family: Eukaryotic small subunit ribosomal RNA
Source: RNAcentral